AAACUCAAAGGAAUUGACGGGGACCCGCACAAGCGGUGGAUGAUGUGGUUUAAUUCGAUGCAACGCGAAAACCUUACCCACCUUUGACAUGUAUGGAAGAUCGCAGAGACGCGAUUGUGCUCGAAAGAGAGCCAUAACACAGGUGCUGCAUGGCUGUCGUCAGCUCGUGUCGUGAGAUGUUGGGUUAAGUCCCGCAACGAGCGCAACCCUUGUCAUUAGUUGCUACAUUCAGUUGGGCACUCUAAUGAGACUGCCGGUGACAAACCGGAGGAAGGUGGGGAUGACGUCAAGUCCUCAUGGCCCUUAUAGGUGGGGCUACACACGUCAUACAAUGGCUGGUACAAAGGGUUGCCAACCCGCGAGGGGGAGCUAAUCCCAUAAAGCCAGUCGUAGUCCGGAUCGUAGUCUGCAACUCGACUACGUGAAGUCGGAAUCGCUAGUAAUCGUGGAUCAGAAUGUCACGGUGAAUACGUUCCCGGGUCUUGUACACACCGCCCGUCACACCAUGGGAGCGGGUUCUGCCAGAAGUAGGUAGCCUAACCGUAAGGAGGGCGCUUACCACGGCAGGGUUCGUGACUGGGGUGAAGUCGUAACAAGGUAGCCGUAUCGGAAGGUGCGGCUGGAUCACCUCCUUUAUGAC
RNAcentral lists this ribosomal RNA (640 nucleotides) under uncultured Comamonadaceae bacterium. Its description in RNAcentral is "bacterial SSU rRNA". It matches the Rfam family "Bacterial small subunit ribosomal RNA", at positions 897 to 1533 of the family's 1533-position model. Lineage: Bacteria; Pseudomonadati; Pseudomonadota; Betaproteobacteria; Burkholderiales; Comamonadaceae. The record is from RNAcentral.